UACGAAGGGGGCUAGCGUUGCUCGGAAUCACUGGGCGUAAAGGGUGCGUAGGCGGGUCUUUAAGUCAGGGGGGAAAUCCUGGAGCUCAACUCCAGAACUGCCUUUGAUACUGAGGAUCUUGAGUUCGGGAGAGGUGAGUGGAACUGCGAGUGUAGAGGUGAAAUUCGUAGAUAUUCGCAAGAACACCAGCGGCGAAGGCGGCUCACUGGCCCGAUACUGACGCUGAGGCACGAAAGCGUGGGGAGCAAACAGG
Molecule: ribosomal RNA, 253 nt
Filed under: uncultured bacterium
Lineage: Bacteria
Description: partial 16S ribosomal RNA
Rfam family: Bacterial small subunit ribosomal RNA
Source: RNAcentral